RNAcentral lists this long non-coding RNA (384 nucleotides) under Ananas comosus (pineapple). RNAcentral's name for it is "long non-coding RNA (ACOM_LNC043386)". Lineage: Eukaryota; Viridiplantae; Streptophyta; Magnoliopsida; Poales; Bromeliaceae. The record is from RNAcentral.
UAAUAUCCUUUCUCAUUUAUCCACGUCGAGCUCGCCGGCACUGACACAUCUUUAUUGUCCUCCUCAUUGUCAUCAUCAUUGUCGACGCCGGCAUAUUAUUGCCUUCGCCACCUUCAUCACAUUUGGAGAGGUAUUUUGAUCUAACCUGAAAAAUUUUUUUAAUAUACUUUUAUACUAUUUUAGCAUUAUUUUUAUUAUUUUCUCAUUUUUAUUUAUACACAAAUAUAAAGUAUAUAUAUUUUUAGUAAUAUUAUUUUUUUAUUUUUACUUAUAUUUUUCUCAAAUAUUCUCAUUUGUCCCCGUAUUCUCAUUUGUCCCCGUCGCCGACACUGACGCAUCAUUAUCAUUCUCCUCAUCAUCAUCAGUGCCGACACAUUGUUGCUU